UCCGUAGGCGGUGCGGCAAGUCGAUAGUGAAAUCCCUGGGCUUAACCCAGGGGCUGCUAACGAAACUGCCGUGCUCGAGUGUGAGAGAGGCGAGUGGAAUUACGGGUGUAGCGGUGAAAUGCGUAGAUAUCCGUAGGAACAUCCGAGGCGAAAGCGGCUCGCUGGAUCACAACUGACGCUGAGGAACGAAAGCUAGGGGAGCAAACAGGAUUAGAUACCCUGGUAGUCCUAGCCCUAAACCAUCAGGACUUGGGGUUUGCCCUGUACGGGGCAAGUCCCGUAGCUAACGCGUUAAGUCCUGCGCCUGGGGAGUACGGUCGCAAGGCUGAA
Molecule: ribosomal RNA, 330 nt
Filed under: uncultured bacterium
Lineage: Bacteria
Description: bacterial SSU rRNA
Rfam family: Bacterial small subunit ribosomal RNA
Source: RNAcentral